Molecule: ribosomal RNA, 228 nt
Filed under: uncultured bacterium
Lineage: Bacteria
Description: partial 16S ribosomal RNA
Rfam family: Bacterial small subunit ribosomal RNA
Source: RNAcentral
UGAGCAAUCUGCCCUUCUCAUCGGAAUAAGCGUUGGAAACGACGUCUAAUGCCGAAUACGACCUCCUUUCGCAUGAUCGGAGGUGGAAAGCUCCGGCGGAGAAGGAUGAGCUCGCGGCCUAUCAGCUAGUUGGUGUGGGUAAUGGCCCACCAAGGCGACGACGGGUAGCCGGCCUGAGAGGGUGACCGGCCACACUGGGACUGAGACACUGCCCAGACUCCUAGGAGG